This 253-nucleotide ribosomal RNA is filed under the name uncultured bacterium. Its description in RNAcentral is "partial 16S ribosomal RNA". It matches the Rfam family "Bacterial small subunit ribosomal RNA", at positions 524 to 776 of the family's 1533-position model. The record is from RNAcentral.
UACGAAGGGGGCGAGCGUUGUUCGGAUUUACUGGGCGUAAAGGGCGCGUAGGCGGCGCCGCAAGUCGCGUGUGAAAGCCCCGGGCUCAACCUGGGAGGUGCGCGCGAGACCGUGGUGCUGGAGUUCGGGAGAGGAGCGUGGAAUUCCCAGUGUAGAGGUGAAAUUCGUAGAUAUUGGGAAGAACACCGGUGGCGAAGGCGGCGCUCUGGACCGAGACUGACGCUGAGGCGCGAAGGCGUGGGGAGCAAACAGG